UCAGAUUCUCCCACGAGCCCCUUGAGGUUGACGAGGCCAUGAUUAUAAAUUCCUUCUGUCACAAACGAAGAAACCAAGGCUUAGAGAGAUUGCACGGCACAGCUGAGACUGAAUUUCAAAUGUCUUGAUUCUCCGCAGAGUGACCUGUCCCCAUUCCAAUCUGGUCAUUUGGCAGGACUCUUGUUGCUGCGGGAGAAGAGUCCAAACAAAACAGAGGAUGGAUCCUGUCCACAUGCCCUUGACAUGUUCUGGGACAUGAUUCCCUGACACUCUCAUGUUAUGAAUUUCCUGAGGACUCUUCUGUGAUGACCUCUGUGUGCUUAACCAAUAUCGUAAGCAUCAAUUAUUUUGGAAUAAAACAAAAUAAAAUCAACCACAUAAAAAAACUUGUAUCAGAAAGCAUUUGGUACAGAGUUUGCUGGAAAAUUCCUCAUGUUUCAUGUCUCCUUUUUUUGAUCCCAUUUUUGAUUGACAGUGGAUGGAGGUGGCCAAUAUACCAGAGCGCCAUGAAGGGACAAAGAGCAUUUCUUGAAGAAACCUCAGCAGAGUGAUGGGUGAUCAUUUGGUCCGAUAACACCAAAGGCUGGAUGAAUUUACCCAGAGAGGACCGUAAUGAAAAUCUGAAAUAACCUUUAUAAUUUUCAAGUGAGGAAAUGAAGGCCAAACAUGAGAGGCUACAAUAAGAGUAUACUGGGCAUUGUGCCAAGAACAGGGGAUAUAAUGAUGAACAAGAAUCAGAUGCAAACAAAUAAGGGAUGAUCUGUGCUACUUUGAGGAAAAACUCAAAGCGACCAGGAAAGAAAGAAAAAUGAUGGAUCCGGGAGCAUGGUGGGUGUGUUGGGAGGUAGACAUACUUCAAAGAGGGACGUUACUAAGCAUACACAAAUGUUGUUGACCCAGCUUGGCCGACGCACCUAUCUGGAAGGUGACGGUAUAGCCAUUCAGGCAAUGUUUAUGUAUUUAUGCACACACAAAAAAAUGUUAUCUCUCUGCCUCACAGGUAUUUUAUAAACACAAGCAAUUCCUUCUGUGUAUCACUGCCAUGAUGCUGGAAACACUGCAUCGCCAGUAACCAGCAGAGAGCCUGGGACAUAGCAGGCAUGUGAUCAUGUUGAAUAACAACACUCACGAAUAAAUGAAAGGCACUUUUAGAACAAUAGGAUGUUGAAUUUAUGGUGUCAUAAAAUAAAUCAGUUCCACAUUUUG
Leopardus geoffroyi (Geoffroy's cat) is the source of this 1206-nucleotide long non-coding RNA. RefSeq lists it as uncharacterized. The record is from RefSeq and is a predicted model, not a curated record. Lineage: Eukaryota; Metazoa; Chordata; Mammalia; Carnivora; Felidae. The transcript has 4 exons.